GUCCACGCCCUAAACGAUGUCAACUAGGUGUUGGGAGGGUAAACCUUUUAGUACCGGAGCUAACGCGUGAAGUUGACCGCCUGGGGAGUACGGCCGCAAGGUUAAACUCAAAGGAAUUGACGGGGACCCGCACAAGCGGUGGAUGAUGUGGAUUAAUUCGAUGCAACGCGAAAACCUUACCUACCCUUGACAUGUCAGGAACUUGCCAGAGAUGGCUUGGUGCUCGAAAGAGAACCUGAACACAGGUGCUGCAUGGCUGUCGU
This 263-nucleotide ribosomal RNA is filed under the name uncultured bacterium. Its description in RNAcentral is "partial 16S ribosomal RNA". It matches the Rfam family "Bacterial small subunit ribosomal RNA", at positions 793 to 1055 of the family's 1533-position model. The record is from RNAcentral.